Non-coding RNA from Cricetulus griseus (Chinese hamster), 493 nucleotides. Lineage: Eukaryota; Metazoa; Chordata; Mammalia; Rodentia; Cricetidae. The record is from RefSeq and is a predicted model, not a curated record.
GGACAGGACAGAUAAGAGACAGGAAGUAGUAAGGCAGAGCUGAGAGAGGAUGUCAGCAGUCCUUUUGGACGGAGGAACAGAAGAGAGAGGAGCAUCAGUUGCCCCAUGAAGUUUCAAGGGUGGGACCCUGGAGAUCUAUCCCAGCACUGAGACUCCUUGGGCCUCUCAUCUUUUCAGGCACCAGAACUCAGCAGGAAACCACUCAACUGCAAAUCCAAUUGAAGUGAAUAGUGGAGAACCAAAGCACACAGAUUCAGUGCAUUUUCAGAGACUUCUGGGGGCCCAGGCUGCAGGAGACAAUGAUGGAAAAGAAAGACCAGUUGCUGUGUUUUCCUGGUGACAGACAUAGUGUUGGUGGCAUGGAUGAACUCCCCUGGGAACAGCACCGUGGCAAGAAUUUCCCAGGCUGAUCUAAUUCUCCUGUGUAAUUCACAGAUUUAAACACAUCCCCUCUCUUUAGGCUCUCUAAUAAAACCUAAAGGAUUUACAGUUC